CUGGGUGGAUCAGUGGCGAACGGGUGAGUAACACGUGAGCAACCUGCCCCUGACUCUGGGAUAAGCGCUGGAAACGGCGUCUAAUACUGGAUACGAGUAGCGACCGCAUGGUCAGUUACUGGAAAGAUUUAUUGGUUGGGGAUGGGCUCGCGGCCUAUCAGCUUGUUGGUGAGGUAAUGGCUCACCAAGGCGUCGACGGGUAGCCGGCCUGAGAGGGUGACCGGCCACACUGGGACUGAGACACGGCCCAGACUCCUACGGGAGGCAGCAGUGGGGAAUAUUGCACAAUGGGCGCAAGCCUGAUGCAGCAACGCCGCGUGAGGGAUGACGGCCUUCGGGUUGUAAACCUCUUUUAGCAGGGAAGAAGCGAAAGUGACGGUACCUGCAGAAAAAGCGCCGGCUAACUACGUGCCAGCAGCCGCGGUAAUACGUAGGGCGCAAGCGUUAUCCGGAAUUAUUGGGCGUAAAGAGCUCGUAGGCGGUUUGUCGCGUCUGCUGUGAAAUCCGGAGGCUCAACCUCCGGCCUGCAGUGGGUACGGGCAGACUAGAGUGCGGUAGGGGAGAUUGGAAUUCCUGGUGUAGCGGUGGAAUGCGCAGAUAUCAGGAGGAACACCGAUGGCGAAGGCAGAUCUCUGGGCCGUAACUGACGCUGAGGAGCGAAAGGGUGGGGAGCAAACAGGCUUAGAUACCCUGGUAGUCCACCCCGUAAACGUUGGGAACUAGUUGUGGGGUCCAUUCCACGGAUUCCGU
RNAcentral lists this ribosomal RNA (750 nucleotides) under Microbacterium phyllosphaerae. RNAcentral's name for it is "bacterial SSU rRNA". It matches the Rfam family "Bacterial small subunit ribosomal RNA", at positions 83 to 844 of the family's 1533-position model. The record is from RNAcentral. Lineage: Bacteria; Bacillati; Actinomycetota; Actinomycetes; Micrococcales; Microbacteriaceae.